RNAcentral lists this long non-coding RNA (655 nucleotides) under Homo sapiens (human). RNAcentral describes it as "HSALNT0206567". The record is from RNAcentral. Lineage: Eukaryota; Metazoa; Chordata; Mammalia; Primates; Hominidae.
CUUCCAUAUACAUGAAUAAGAUAGACACUGAAUGGACACUGGAGAUGCAGGUCAUUCCAACCAGGUACGCAGGAAAAGCAUCUGUCAGAGUCAGACGGCUUGUUGCAGGAUUGCUACAAACAGACCCUCUCCUUGGAGCUAAAUCCAGUGCUUCCCACAAACAUCCCAACAUGGGUCUGGCCAUCGGGCAGUGUUAGAAUCCAGCCAACCAAACCCACCUUCCCGGGUCAGCAGGCACCAGCCACCUCUAGAUCAAUUUCGUUCCGUCUGCUUUUAAAUAAUCGCUGUUCAUUUUUGUUUGUUUUUAUAUUUGUUUGUUAAUAUAGAUAUAAUCUUUGCCCCACAAAUCAAUAAUCUAGUUUUAUUCCACGAACAUUUUAUUAAAAACACUCUGCUUUAUUUUCCACCUAAAAAUGAGAUACAUCAAAUGUUUCUUUGUCAAUGUAGUACUGAAUUGAAAAACAGUGGUAUUAUAAUUACUGGUUACAAUUUUAAGAAAAUUUAAGUUGGGUAAAUUUUGGAAAGGGCGAUUAAAAACAUGUCUUCUAGCACAAAAAUGAGAAGAAAAACUCUUCUGGGAAUAUUAUACUCUUGUAUUUUUAUUUGUACAAAACUGCAGCCGUCAGCGGUAGGAAGCGUUUUGUCCCUCAGUCAG